AAAAGCGUAGUCGAUGGAAAACAGGUUAAUAUUCCUGUACUUCUGGUUAUUGCGAUGGAGGGACGGAGAAGGCUAGGCCAGCUUGGCGUUGGUUGUCCAAGUUUAAGGUGGUAGGCUGAGAUCUUAGGUAAAUCCGGGAUCUUAAGGCCGAGAGCUGAUGACGAGUUGUCUUUUAGAUGACGAAGUGGUUGAUGCCAUGCUUCCAAGAAAAGCUUCUAAGCUUCAGGUAACCAGGAACCGUACCCCAAACCGACACAGGUGGUUGGGUAGAGAAUACCAAGGCGCUUGAGAGAACUCGGGUGAAGGAACUAGGCAAAAUGGCACCGUAACUUCGGGAGAAGGUGCGCCGGUGAGGGUGAAGGACUUGCUCCGUAAGCCCCGGAGGGUCGCAGAGAAUAGGUGGCUGCGACUGUUUAUUAAAAACACAGCACUCUGCUAACACGAAAGUGGACGUAUAGGGUGUGACGCCUGCCCGGUGCCGGAAGGUUAAUUGAUGGGGUUAG
Molecule: ribosomal RNA, 503 nt
Filed under: Putridiphycobacter roseus
Lineage: Bacteria; Pseudomonadati; Bacteroidota; Flavobacteriia; Flavobacteriales; Crocinitomicaceae
Description: Bacterial large subunit ribosomal RNA
Rfam family: Bacterial large subunit ribosomal RNA
Source: Rfam by way of RNAcentral